UCAUGAGCUGAUUCUGGAUUUGAUUUCACUUUCUUCUGAUGUUUCCCCUUGCAUUGCUGGAUUUUGGAUAAUAGGUGCAAGAGCUGAGUUUGGUAUGAGGAACUUGCAGGUUUUCCAGGACCGAUUUUUUUUACUCAAUACCGAGGCGGUUGUUUGAAGAAUGCAGCAGGUUAGUUCAUUUGGGGCAUGCAGAUUGAAGAAUGCAUGAAGAUGGAGAACUUUGGCAUGACAUGGAUUUGGAAGUUCACUCAU
This is a non-coding RNA of Vicia faba (fava bean), 252 nucleotides long. The record is from the annotation of a GenBank genome assembly. Lineage: Eukaryota; Viridiplantae; Streptophyta; Magnoliopsida; Fabales; Fabaceae.